RNAcentral lists this ribosomal RNA (492 nucleotides) under uncultured bacterium. Its description in RNAcentral is "partial 16S ribosomal RNA". It matches the Rfam family "Bacterial small subunit ribosomal RNA", at positions 29 to 507 of the family's 1533-position model. The record is from RNAcentral.
AGUGAACGCUGGCGGUAGGCCUAACACAUGCAAGUCGAACGGCAACACAGUAAGAGCUUGCUCUUACGAGUGGCGAGUGGCGGACGGGUGAGGAAUACAUCGGAAUCUACUUUUUCGUGGGGGAUAACGUAGGGAAACUUACGCUAAUACCGCAUACGACCUACGGGUGAAAGCAGGGGAUCUUCGGACCUUGCGCGAUUGAAUGAGCCGAUGUCGGAUUAGCUAGUUGGCGGGGUAAAGGCCCACCAAGGCGACGAUCCGUAGCUGGUCUGAGAGGAUGAUCAGCCACACUGGAACUGAGACACGGUCCAGACUCCUACGGGAGGCAGCAGUGGGGAAUAUUGGACAAUGGGCGCAAGCCUGAUCCAGCCAUACCGCGUGGGUGAAGAAGGCCUUCGGGUUGUAAAGCCCUUUUGUUGGGAAAGAAAAGCAGCAGGUUAAUACCCCGCUGUUCUGACGGUACCCAAAGAAUAAGCACCGGCUAACUUCGUG